This 230-nucleotide long non-coding RNA is filed under the name Lathyrus oleraceus (garden pea). Its description in RNAcentral is "Pisum sativum (pea) long non-coding RNA (PSAT_LNC013240)". The record is from RNAcentral. Lineage: Eukaryota; Viridiplantae; Streptophyta; Magnoliopsida; Fabales; Fabaceae.
UGAGCCUAAUCAAUAGAAGGAGAUGGAUAAGAAAUGAACAAGAAAGCCUCCUUAAGGGUAAGCAUACCUGUAACAGUGCCAUUCUAAAUCCUAAGGUCCUUAUUACAAAUAUGGAAAUCAGGAACUAAAGGGAGCAUAAUAGCCAAGAAAGGGAACCAAUCAUACCAACAAAGCGGAAAUGACCAUUGCCUAUUAGAGAUUAGAUCAACAACCAUAACAUUGGAAUUUAU